AUGCCACUGAUCACAGCCACUUUCAUGGCCCUUGCCUUGUGCUUCGCCCCUGCACCUGCAGUGGGUGCAGCGGCGACACUCUCGGCGCCGCGUCCGCUGCGGGGCAACGACACGCUGGUCUCGGCACAGGGCAAGUUCGAGCUCGGCCUCUUCAUCCCUGCUGGCAGCUCCGGCGACAGGUUCUACCUCGGGAUCUGGUACAAGAACAUCCCCGGCCAGACCAUCAUCUGGGUGGGCAACCGCGCGAGUCCACUAUCUGCUGUCGCCUCCGCCGAGCUCCGUGUCUCCGCUGACGACGGCAACCUCGAGCUCGUCGGUCCCACCGCUGCCUCCACCUCGCCGGUCGUCGUGUGGUCUUCGAACCUGUCGUCUUCCUUGUCGCCGGGCUCAAACAACACGGCGGAGAUCCACGACAACGGCAACCUGGUCCUUGUCGACGGCAGCAACUCCUCCAACGUGCUGUGGCAAAGCUUCGACCACCCGACGGACACGCUGGUGCCAGAAGCGUGGAUCGGGGAAAACAAGCUCACCGGCGAGUACCAGGCGUUGACAUCGUGGCGGAACGCCCAGGACCCCGCGCCGGGGAUCUUCAGCGAGACGCUCGACCCGAACGGCGCUAGCGAGGUCUUCUACAUGUGGAACCGGUCCCGCGUGUACUGGCGGACCGGCGUCUGGAUGGGCCAAGCCUUCGCGAAGCUGCCAGAGGCGACGAAAAACACCAUCUACAACGGGACGUACGUCGAGCCGCCGGCGUACCGGCGCGUCAUCAACGUGCUCUACGACAAUGCAACCAUAACACGCAGCGUGCUCGAUCCCACCGGCCAGGCACAAAUGUACAUUUGGAUGCCCACGAGCCAGAGCUGGCAGCCCUUGUGGACCGGUCCCAUGUUGCAGUGCGACGUGUACGCGCUCUGCGGCGCAUUCGGCGUUUGCGACCAGGGAGGCAAGCUACCUUGCCACUGUCCGCCCGGAUUUGCCCCGGCGUCGGAGGGGGACUGGACGCUCAACGAUUGGAGCGGUGGGUGCCGCCGGAGCUCGCCGCUCACGUGCGCGCACGAUGGAUCAAGGACGGACGGGUUCCUGAUGCUGCCAGACGUGAAACUUCCCGAUGACUCGGUCACCGUGGGCGCUGCCCAGAGCAAAGUAGAGUACGAAUCGGCUUGCCUAAAGAUCUGCUCUUGCCAAGCCUAUGCCUUCUCUGUCAGGGAGUGCACCGUCUGGUACGGAGAGCUCCGCAACCUUCAGCAGCUCUACUUGGACUCUGACAGCCCCGGGUCAGACCUGUACCUUCGGCUUUCAGAAAGAGGAUUGCAAGAUCUCCAUAGCGUAGACAGGGAGAAAAUGGGGAGAAAGUUAUGGUUUGUCCUUGGCAUCAUAUUGGCUGGUGUUGCAGCAGUGGGGGCAUCGAUCAUACUACUAGCCUGGAGGAUUGUUCUUGCCCGAAGGAGACUAGUCAGUAUGGCAAAUGAGAAUGUAACCUCCUUGGCCGUGUACAGUUACGGCGACCUCCGUGCCGCAACGAAGGACUUCUCGGAGCGGCUGGGCCGCGGUAGCUUCGGCUCGGUGUACCGCGGUGUCCUGAAGCGGCAUAAGGGAGACAACUCAAUCAGAGUCCAGGUGGCAGUGAAGAAGCUUGAAAGUCUUGGGCGGCAGGGCGACAAGCAGUUCCGGAUGGAAGUGAGCACGCUGGGCUGCAUCCAACACGUGAACCUCGUCCGACUCCUCGGGUUCUGCUCGUCAGGCGACAAUAAGAUGCUCGUCUAUGAGUACAUGCCCAGAGGCUCCCUCGACGGCCUCCUCUUCCGUGACGGCGCGUGCCUGAGCUGGCGCCACCGGUACUGCAUCAUGCUCGGUGUGGCCAGAGGGCUGGCCUACCUGCACCACGGCUGCCGCGAAUGCAUCAUACACUGCGACGUCAAGCCGGAGAACAUCCUGCUGGACGAGGACAUGUCGCCGAGGAUCGCCGACUUUGGGAUGGCGAAGCUGGUGGGGAGGGACUUCAGCCGCGCGCUGACGACUAUGCGGGGCACCAUCGGGUACCUGGCGCCGGAGUGGAUCUCUGGGCAGCCUAUCAGCGCUAAGGCCGACGUGUACAGCUUCGGCAUGGUGCUCUUUGAGCUCAUCUCAGGACGACGUAACUCCAAAGGGUACAGUGAGUUGGAGGCGGCAAGGACUGGUGGGAGUGAGUCCUCCUUGCCCUUCUUCCCAGUGUGGGCCGCCGGAAAGGUUUUGAAAGGUGAGGUGGGCGCCGUGGUUGACCCCCGGCUGCGCGGUGAGGUGAUGCCAAAGGAGCUGGAGCGGGCGUGCAGGGUGGCAUGCUGGUGCGUCCAGGACGAGGAGGCGCAACGCCCGACCAUGGCGCAGGUCGUGCAGGCGCUGGAAGGCGCCGUCCACAUCCAAGCGCCGCCGGUGCCACGAACGCUGGAGCACCUUGUCACCCUCAUGUAA
RNAcentral lists this ribosomal RNA (2448 nucleotides) under Triticum aestivum (bread wheat). Its description in RNAcentral is "partial small subunit ribosomal RNA". The record is from RNAcentral. Lineage: Eukaryota; Viridiplantae; Streptophyta; Magnoliopsida; Poales; Poaceae.